Molecule: long non-coding RNA, 559 nt
Organism: Rosa chinensis
Lineage: Eukaryota; Viridiplantae; Streptophyta; Magnoliopsida; Rosales; Rosaceae
Exons: 2
Source: RefSeq, a predicted model, not a curated record
UACAUGGAGUCAGCACCUCAAGGUCUAGAAUAGCCCCUAACCUGGACCUCCGAUUUCGACCAGAGCCACCCAGCACGCCGUGAGAGCCACCGACUUACUUCUUUCAUCUGGUAAGCUCGAUUUCGUCACCUCGUUUAGUGUUGAGGCCUCUGUUUAAUUUCAGAAAGAAGUGGGUUUCUAACUUAGAUUUUCUGGAUUGGAGUUUGGAACCUCAAGCUCAGAGGUGAAUGGAGAACACAGGAGCUCAAUACGGAUUCUGGAGGAGUUGUGUAUUUCUGCGUUUUUUUGGAGUGUUGGAGGAGAGAGAGCUAGUGGGUUAAUUUCAGUUGAAUCUGGGAAGGGUGUCCAAAACAAUUGUUGGAGCUGGAUUGCAGCAAUGGCGAAUUGGCUUCUAGUUUGGGAAAGAAGACUUGGUAAGGGCUUGGGUUAAUUGGAAAGUAGUGAUGCUCUGUUCGAAAUGGUUAUCAAUGAGUUGAUUGAGUUUGAAACUGAAAUGGGGUUGUUUUGGUGAUCUUAUGAUUAUUGUGUUACAUCUAUUAUAAACUUUGAUUGUUGGUGA